RNAcentral lists this long non-coding RNA (388 nucleotides) under Salvia miltiorrhiza (redroot sage). Its description in RNAcentral is "long non-coding RNA (SMIL_LNC013043)". The record is from RNAcentral. Lineage: Eukaryota; Viridiplantae; Streptophyta; Magnoliopsida; Lamiales; Lamiaceae.
GAAAAGAAAAAGAAAGAGAAAAAAAAAAGUGUGAAGUCGAGAGUUUAUUGAGAUAUUUGUUAGAAAAUCGACUUUGUGUGUUGGAAAGAAGUUGAGAGCAUAAAAGAGUGUUUAGUUCUGUUUUGUGAUGAUUAAAUCCCUUGAGUUUUGUUGAUUAUGGUGAUAUAGUUGGGUGGAAGAUGGAAUUUAUUCCAUACUUGAUUAGUGAAGUCAUAAGGUUGGUGUUCUUGAUCUAUUUGAGUCACUUAGCCUAUAUUUCCCUACCUGAACCAAUGUCCCUACAUUAUAACCCAAAAAUAAAGACCUAUUUGAUCUUAGUCUUGGCACACUUUUAGCGAUGGAGAUUGUAGACGAUUGGCAAGCUUAUGGUAAGAGAUCUAUAUUGCAU